GACCAGUUUUUCACUUUCGUUUACCCCCAAAACACAGAAAAAACCGCCAAGAGGCAAAACAACCAUUCUAGGAGAACUGAAAUUGCAGUCCUUCGUUCUGACCUUAUUAAGAAGCCCGUGCUUAUCCUAGAGAUCAUCUGUCGGUCAAUCGGACGGUUGGCAAAAAAAAUUUGUAGCUGCAAGAGAGAAGUUGACCGUGUACAGCAAGAUCGUUUGUCGCCGAUGCCAUCGCCUCCGAUGAAAUCUUGAGCAAAUAUUAUGUAAGCAUGAUAUUUGUUCAUCGCUUGCUACCGUGGUCGACUAAUUUCAGUUUCAAUGAACGCAACCCGACAUUCUUGUAUGACAGAAAAGAAUUUUGGACCUUGUCAUAGCUGUAGAGAGAAGGGGCAAUUCUUUGCGAUUACCCAGAGAAACGAUGCCCCUGGUGUAAAAUUGGAUUUGUGAAGUGCUUUGAGGUUGAGGGGGAGAUGAAGAAAAAGGGAAAAUCGUUCAGUUGCUACAAUGCUAACUGUAAAUACUGGGAAUGGGUUGACGAAGGAGAAUCAAGCUGUAGAUCGAGUAUUAUUGUCGUUAACUCGAAUAAUCAUGAGGCAUUUGAAGAAGUCCAGCAGUUCUCUCGCAUGUUCCAUUCCCUUUGUCAGGUAACUGGAGAACAAAACAUUGAGAUUUCUUUGAAUGUGACAAUAAGAAAUGCCAUUGGAAGUGUGGGAGUGGAUAAGAAGGGGCCGGCAUGAUUACUGGUUAUAUUUCUUGGGAUGCAUCACUACCACCUUUGAUGUGCAAUAUGUGUUGUAUUAUGUGAAGUUGAUGUGUAAUAUGUGUUGUGUUAUGUGAAGAAAUCAUUGUAAUGUAGUCACUUUUGAUGUUUCAGUCGCUAUGUGAACGAUGUUAGUGUUAAUAUUAGUGGACUGCAGUUUGUGUUCUU
Long non-coding RNA from Olea europaea var. sylvestris, 925 nucleotides. RefSeq lists it as uncharacterized. The transcript has 2 exons. The record is from RefSeq and is a predicted model, not a curated record. NCBI's taxonomy places the organism in Eukaryota, Viridiplantae, Streptophyta, Magnoliopsida, Lamiales, Oleaceae.